Oncorhynchus keta (chum salmon) is the source of this 892-nucleotide long non-coding RNA. RefSeq lists it as uncharacterized. The transcript is spliced from 3 exons. NCBI's taxonomy places the organism in Eukaryota, Metazoa, Chordata, Actinopteri, Salmoniformes, Salmonidae. The record is from RefSeq and is a predicted model, not a curated record.
CAGGAGACGGGAAUGUAGAUGCAACACUAGCCCUUGUGUUCUUGUAUGUUGAUGUGGAUUUUAAAAGGCACUACACAAGAGCAAGGAGAGAGAUGUUUGUUUCUGUCGGCGCGAUGUGUGAAGAAACCAGAUGGCUGUACCAACUCUGAUGACGUAUCCCGAGUGAGCCAUGUUUUCGUGAAACAGAGAAUGUUGCAAUCUCUGUUUCUCUGGAAGGCAACCCUUGCUUGGAUUUUGUCUACCUUGUCAAGAGACUGGACAUUGGCGAGUAGUAUACUUGGGAGUGUACUUGGGAGAGGUAUACUCCCAAGUAGGUAUAUAUCUACGGUAUAUAUCUACGGAGCCAGACCAGAAGACCGCUCCGACAGCUCCUUCUGAGGCGCCGUUGCUUUGGGUCGCCUGUUGGGAUCCGAUCCGUUGUCCUGUUUGGUGGACCAAACAGAGGAUCCGCUUCGGGACAGUCGUAUUCCUGGUCAUAAUGUUGGAAAUAUGCACAGGGUCGCGGUCAAAGGGAUGUUUGUCAACGUCAUGUGGAACGCGGAGCUACGACAGAGCUUGCAUGUUAAGCAGACCCUCUGCCUUUAUCAAGCCAAUCACAAACGGAAAAAAAAAUGUAAAAAUGUUGUGGAGCCCAGACACCUGGCAUGAAGACACUCUCCCUCCCUCCUUUCCUCCAUCCCCUAACUCAUCCCUAUCAGACACCUCCAAGCUUUGCAUAUCAGAAACUCAGACCUUAUUUGUCUCCCUCUCUUCUCUUUUUCAUUAACAGAAACAAAUAAAGGCCUCUCUAAUCCAGAAAAUGUGCUUUUUUAUUGGAUGCUUUAAGCCCUAAAGACAGGCUACUCCACCUGGAUUUUACAACCACACAGUCAUUUCUUUGUGCCUGCCGGAC